UACGAAGGGGGCUAGCGUUGUUCGGAAUUACUGGGCGUAAAGCGCGCGCAGGUGGUUUUCCAAGUCAGUGGUGAAAGCCCGGAGCUCACCUCCGGAACUGCCAUUGAAACUGUGAAACUCGAGGACGAGAGAGGUGAGUGGAAUUCCCAGUGUAGAGGUGAAAGUCGUAGAUAUUGGGAAGAACACCGGUGGCGAAGGCGGCUCACGGGCUCGUAUCUGACACUCAAGCGCGACAGCGUGGGGAUAAAACAGG
This 253-nucleotide ribosomal RNA is filed under the name uncultured bacterium. RNAcentral describes it as "partial 16S ribosomal RNA". It matches the Rfam family "Bacterial small subunit ribosomal RNA", at positions 524 to 776 of the family's 1533-position model. The record is from RNAcentral.